RNAcentral lists this ribosomal RNA (253 nucleotides) under uncultured bacterium. RNAcentral describes it as "partial 16S ribosomal RNA". It matches the Rfam family "Bacterial small subunit ribosomal RNA", at positions 524 to 776 of the family's 1533-position model. The record is from RNAcentral.
UACGGAGGGGGCUAGCGUUGUUCGGAAUUACUGGGCGUAAAGUGUGCGCAGGCGGCAGAGCAAGUCGAGUGUGAAAGCCCCGGGCUUAACUUGGGAAUUGCGCUCGAAACUACUUUGCUGGAGUGUGGCAGAGGAAGGUGGAAUUCCACGUGUAGCGGUGAAAUGCGUAGAGAUGUGGAGGAACACCAAUGGCGAAGGCAGCCUUCUGGGCCAACACUGACGCUCAUGCACGAAAGCGUGGGGAGCAAACAGG